CCCAAGGGAAACAGGCAUGGCGGGCUAAGCUGCUGUGUCGAAAGGGAAACAACCCAGACUCUCGGUUAAGGCCUCUAAAUCUUGACUAAGUUGGAAAGGAAGUUACUCAUCCGUUGACACCCAGGAGGUUGGCUUAGAAGCAGCCACCCUUUAAAGAAAGCGUAACAGCUCACUGGCUGAUGGAUGGUAGCGCCGAAAAUGUAUCGAGGAUUAAGUCAAGUGCCGAAACCGGAGCUUUGUACUUUUUUGUACAAGGGGUAGGGGAGCGUUCUAUACGCUGUGAAGUUUUGCUGUGAGGCGAGGUGGAGUGUAUGGAAGUGAGAAUGCCGGUAUGAGUAGCGAUAAGUCCAGUGAGAAUCUGGACCGCCGAAUACCCAAGGUUUCCGUCGCAAUGUUCGUCAACGACGGGUUAAUCGGUUCCUAAGGCGAGGCCCUAAAGGCGUAGUCGAUGGACAAGACGUUAAUAUUCGUCUAUUUGUUUUAAAUCGCCAGUCCCUUCGGGGAUAGCUGGGGAUUGACCGAAUUGGAGUUUUGGGCCCCUUGCAUGAAGUGGGGUGUAAGCUGUUAAGUAGUUCUGGUUGGAAAAUCCACUAGAGUGAUUAACUAAGCAGUGAUACAGAGUAGUCCGCCUUCGGGCAGGCUACAAUUCAAGAGCCUUCAGUUUGCAAGAAAAGAUUCGUAGUGAGAUUUAAAGCAAGCCGUACCGAAAACCGACACAGGUGGGUUGGUCGAGUAGACUAAGGCGAGCGAGAGAAAGAGGUUUAAGGAACUCGGCAAACAAGCUAGGGGUAAGUUCGCAAGAUCCCUUGCCAGUGUUUCUUCGGAAACGUCUGGCCGCAGCUAAAGAUUGCCAAUCGACUGUUUAUCAAAAACACAGGUCUCUGCAAAGCCGCAAGGCUAAGUAUAGGGGCUGACGCCUGCCCAGUGCUGGUAAGUUAACGGGAUACGUGGUCUCCUUCGGGAGUCUUGCGUUGAACCGAAGCUCCAGUAAACGGCAGCAAUAACUAUAAUUGUUCUACGGUACCGAAGUUCCUUGUCGUGUAAGUUACGACCUGCAGGAAUGGCGUCACGAGUUGGCAACUGUCUUGAACCUUUACUCGGCGAAAUUGCGAUGGCUGUGAAGACGCGGCCUAUUUACACCAGGACAGAAAGACCCCGUGGAGCUUUACUGCAACUUGACAUCGACCUUGGAUUUACCAAUUGUCUAGAAUAGGAGGGACCCUUUCGGGGGGCCAGUGUAAUACCUCUCUUUGGUAGAUUUCAAGUCUUACCCAAAGGCCUUGCAAGCAGGUCUGGGGACAAUGUUUGGUGGGCAGUUUCGCUGGGGCGGUGUCCUGCUAAAGAGUAACGCAGGAGCACAAAGGUUGGCUUAGUAC
This 1376-nucleotide ribosomal RNA is filed under the name marine metagenome. RNAcentral describes it as "bacterial LSU rRNA". It matches the Rfam family "Bacterial large subunit ribosomal RNA", at positions 974 to 2328 of the family's 2925-position model. The record is from RNAcentral.